UCCUCCUUAGUAUAGGGGUUAGUAUGCCAGCUUGUCACGCUGGAGACGGGAGUUCAAGUCUCCCAGGGGGAG
Phialemonium atrogriseum is the source of this 72-nucleotide non-coding RNA. The record is from the annotation of a RefSeq genome assembly. Lineage: Eukaryota; Fungi; Ascomycota; Sordariomycetes; Cephalothecales; Cephalothecaceae.